Molecule: ribosomal RNA, 254 nt
Filed under: uncultured bacterium
Lineage: Bacteria
Description: partial 16S ribosomal RNA
Rfam family: Bacterial small subunit ribosomal RNA
Source: RNAcentral
UACGUAGGGGGCGAGCGUUAUCCGGAUUUACUGGGCGUAAAGAGCGCGUAGGCGGCUUUUCAGGUCGGUGGUGAAAGGCCCGGGCUUAACUCGGGUAGGUCCAUCGAAACCGAAGAGCUUCGAGGGCAGUAGAGGAAGGUGGAAUUCCGGGUGUAGUGGUGAAAUGCAUAGAGAUCCGGAGGAACACCGGUGGCGAAGGCGGCCUUCUGGGCUGGCCCUGACGCUGAGGCGCGAAAGCGUGGGGAGCGAACUGA